GACGAACGCUAGCGGCGUGCUUAACACAUGCAAGUCGAACGAAGAGCGACGGAAGCUUGCUUCUAUCAAUCUUAGUGGCGAACGGGUGAGUAACGCGUAAUCAACCUGCCCUUCAGAGGGGGACAACAGUUGGAAACGACUGCUAAUACCGCAUACGAUCUAACCUCGGCAUCGAGGAUAGAUGAAAGGUGGCCUCUACAUGUAAGCUAUCACUGAAGGAGGGGAUUGCGUCUGAUUAGCUAGUUGGAGGGGUAACGGCCCACCAAGGCGAUGAUCAGUAGCCGGUCUGAGAGGAUGAACGGCCACAUUGGGACUGAGACACGGCCCAGACUCCUACGGGAGGCAGCAGUGGGGAAUCUUCCGCAAUGGACGAAAGUCUGACGGAGCAACGCCGCGUGAGUGAUGACGGCCUUCGGGUUGUAAAGCUCUGUUAAUCGGGACGAAAGGCCUUCUUGCGAAUAGUGAGAAGGAUUGACGGUACCGGAAUAGAAAGCCACGGCUAACUACGUG
This 510-nucleotide ribosomal RNA is filed under the name uncultured bacterium. Its description in RNAcentral is "partial 16S ribosomal RNA". It matches the Rfam family "Bacterial small subunit ribosomal RNA", at positions 28 to 507 of the family's 1533-position model. The record is from RNAcentral.